Caenorhabditis elegans is the source of this 143-nucleotide non-coding RNA. Lineage: Eukaryota; Metazoa; Nematoda; Chromadorea; Rhabditida; Rhabditidae. The record is from Ensembl.
CACAAAAAGUUGUUGCACAACACGCUGCACAUGCUUCCCCGUGUCUAACAACGGCGGUAAAGCCUUCCUCUAUGAGUCAAUGAUAUGCUUUUGCCGCGCGGCAAGCUGUGUGGCCACCGGCAACGUCAAACAACCUCUGAAGA